GAUGAAGAACGGAGCGAAAUGCGAUAAGUAAUGUGAAUUGCAGAAUUCAGUGAAUCAUCGAAUCUUUGAACGCACAUUGCGCCCUCUGGUAUUCCGGGGGGCAUGCCUGUUCGAGCGUCAUUACAACCCUCAAGCUUUGCUUGGUAUUGGACAUUGCCAGUUUCUGGCAGGUCUUAAAAUCAGUGGCGGUGCCAUUUGGCUUCAAGCGUAGUAAUUCUUCUCGCUUUGGAGAUCCAAGUGGUUACUUGCCAAUAACCCCCAAUUUUUUCAGGUUGACCUCGGAUCAGGCAGGGAUACCCGCUGAACUUAAGCAUAUCAAUAAGCGGAGGA
RNAcentral lists this unclassified non-coding RNA (330 nucleotides) under soil metagenome. RNAcentral's name for it is "partial contains 5.8S ribosomal RNA, internal transcribed spacer 2, and large subunit ribosomal RNA". The stretch from base 1 to 120 matches the Rfam family "5.8S ribosomal RNA", at positions 35 to 154 of the family's 154-position model. The record is from RNAcentral.